GAGGGGCUUUUCUGACGUCACGCGGGCAAAUACCCAGCACGCAAUACAGCCGGGCGCCUUUAGAUGGAGAGGAGCGUCCUGCCUGGGGUGGGCCCGGCAGGGGGGCAGGCUGCCCGCUCGCCCGGCUGCGCUCCGGAGUCAGCGAUCCGGUCUGCACGCAACGUGGAUGGAGCGUGCUCCUCCGUCUGCGUUGCCCUGCUGCGUCCACAUGAUUGUACUGCUGCCAAAUCGACAUCGCUCACGGAUUGUAUAGCUGCGGCCAGUGCCGAUCUGGCGCUGUAAUCGAUGUGGAUCCAGGAAUACAAGCUAUGUCCAGGGUGGAUUCAGCCGUGUAAUCCAUGUGCUAUGAGUUAUCAGCAUGGUCCAUGUGCAAUAUGGAUUCACCACUGUAAUCCAUCUGCAGUGCAGGAGCUGGUGAUUUGGAUCUGAUCAUCUCUUUGCAGGCAGGCAAGAAGAGCAUAGCAAGAAGUAUUCAUUCGUUUUGAGGGUAUAUAUUAACCUGUACUAUUCUUCUUUGAGUUUUAGCAAAACAGAACAAAGUGCAGUAACUGCCAAUAAAAAAUAACAAACUCUUGUAAUGUACAUAUACCAAGAAUGUAUAAUUUGAUUUCUUGAAGCAUUCUUUUCUAGGGGUACUUUAUAUUUAAAGAGUAGUAAGACUAGUUAAUUGCUGGUGUGUUUAAUCAACCCUUUCUCAAUGAUUAACCCUACAAAGAACUCAUCCAGGGGACACCCCAGAAGGGAACAGUCAUGUUAAUUAUUUGUUAAACUGAGAUUUAUAGUCAAAACUUCUUUGUACAGUGAAUACAAAUAUAAAGUUAGGAGUGCUCAUAAUAGUGAACUUUCUAUAUAUAUUUCCUGGUAGGCCUCCAGGUUUUCAGAGCAGCACAAGUCAAACAAGGCCAGUAGUUAAGUGUGAAAAGGUGCAGCUGAAGAUAACCAGUUUAAGUAACACUUCAUCAUAAAGACAUUUUAUUUUCCACUCAUGUGAACCCUGCUGGUAUUUUUGCUCACUGCUCUGCUCAUUAACAAAACUAGGGGGCAGCCUUUCCUCAUGUUAAGCAGCACUUAUUUGCAGAAGAGAUCCCCUUGUGCACCCAGGCACACACUCAAAAGUCCCCACUUGCAAGUGUUCCCCUUGGGGAAGAGGGUUGAAGAAGGAGGCACACGCUGCUUGUUGCAUUGGUGAAUGGAAGGUGCACAGAUACCAGGGUGACAGGAAGGCUACAAGAACCUGAAUAGCCUAAGCUACACAGGUGAGCAAACACUUUUCAGUUUUAAUCAGAUUUGUAGAAUUUGACUUUGUAAAAUCAGCAUAAACUAGAAGAAGGAGAAGUAGUUUUAUACAGGAGUUCUCAUAUACAUCUACAAUUAAUACCUUCAAAAUCAAGAAAGCCUCCUUUCCCAAACCAAAUUCCACUAUUUCAUUUUUCUCUUCACUGAAUCUCCCCAGCACCUCCCUCCCCACCAAGCUACCUCUCCCCUUCUGUUUGCCCCACUCCCUUGUUAAAGUGUCUUAUUGAGCAAUUGCCUGGCUUCAGCCUCACUGGUGGCUUUGGUUGUCUUGGUGACAUGUUGCUCUUUCCCCAAUAAUGACUACAAGCCCCUCUUCUCUUAGAGUUUUAGAAGCUUCUUGUGAAGGCUGUGACGUUCCUGUGAAGGCUGUGAGGUUUGCCCUUCCAUCGUUCCAGCUGUUUUUACAGGGCGAGACAGAUGCAGAGAAGGACCAACCAAGUGCCUCACUUGAACCUGGCCAGUAUUCAAAGUCUAACAUAAAAGAAGGUGUGUGUGUGGUGGGGUUAAGCACAGAACAAGGAGCCUUCCCUGCUACUCAGACCCUAUAUGGAAUCCCAGACUCUUGAAACAAUUCCUCUGCUCUGCAGUGUAACUACACCAUGGUCUAGAUGGCCCAAGACUCCAGGUUCAAGUAGCAAAGAAUCUCCUAAU
Chelonoidis abingdonii (Abingdon island giant tortoise) is the source of this 1947-nucleotide non-coding RNA. Lineage: Eukaryota; Metazoa; Chordata; Testudines; Testudinidae. The record is from RefSeq and is a predicted model, not a curated record.